Long non-coding RNA from Andrographis paniculata, 2668 nucleotides. RefSeq lists it as uncharacterized. The transcript is spliced from 8 exons. NCBI's taxonomy places the organism in Eukaryota, Viridiplantae, Streptophyta, Magnoliopsida, Lamiales, Acanthaceae. The record is from RefSeq and is a predicted model, not a curated record.
ACAGCCGCGUUCGCGUCCUGCGCGGCCGAGGCGCAGGGGUACAGCUUCAUCGCCUCCGCGUCGGGCGUCGAUCUAGGGCACUCGCCGGCUCCGUAAGCGCUAUUGAUGCCGAGGAUGGCGAGGAAUCCGAGGACGAGCAGGCACCUUUUGGGGACAAGAUCAAGAAGCAAAACAUCGUAUCAUCAACGUGUUCUUCUUCUUCUUUAUUUUUUUCUCGUAGAUGAUGUUGCUUUCACAUUUCUCAGGUUCAAAGUACGUUCGUAAGAUUUUGAGUAAAUACACACAGAUAAUGAUCAAGGCAGGGAACACUGCCUAUCCUUUUGUUGUUUCUGCUGGAAUGGAGCACCGGAGGCUUUAGCAUGGCAGGUGGCGUGGCAAGGGGCAAUGGGAGUUGUCUCGGCGCAUAACUGUCCAUCAACUUGGUUAAGGAUCACAAGACUUGUUACGUACAGAGGGUGAUUCUUUCCCAACCCCCCAUGGACAAUAUGCUGCCCAUUCACUUGCUCUGUUAGAUACAGAACCAGGUCCUCCCAGUAUGUGUCCAUAGUUCUUCGACUUUGCUUCAGUUGCUAGAUAAUUUGUGUUAACAGAGGAGCAGGCGAAAAGUUUGGAGUUGUGUAUGCUGAUCGGUAGGGCGUGCCUGAGGCAGGCACCGGAUGCAGAAUUCUAUCAUUUCUCUGGGAAUCUGUAGCAGCUGAUGAGACGUUAUCAGAUUCCUUAGAUAUGUCGUCCACAUAGAGCAAAUCCUCAAUCCGUGCUACAAUGUUGAACGCUAGACUCUCCAAGACCCUCGAGUAGCUCUCCAAGAUCGAUUUCCCAACAUCCUGUAAGGAUCGAAACAACAGAUACUGUGAAAGUUGAAUACAUUUGGAGUUACAAAUUAUGAUGAAGCACAGAUUUUGAACCUUGUUGCAUUGUAUUUUAGUGGUGUCUAAAGUAGUUUGUGUGAGACUCGGGACUCGAUGCCUCAAGGAGAGCAGAAGUUUCUCAGCUCUUUCAGCGAGCAAGUCCCUCUUGUCUCCAUAUGUCAUGAGAUCUUUAACAAUCUCCCAAGACGAUUUGGCUGCAGAAUGAUGCUGCGGAUGAGCCGGGGGCUUCGGUUGUUGCCUCCUGCGCCACAUAUGCAUCGCUGCUUCCACUCGGUUCGCUAUCUCCAGGGCUGCAUGAUCAGAGGACAGAUCGAGGCAAUCGAGCAAGCACUCUGGGAAGAAUUGCUCCGAAGUGAUGUACCGGUAGAUGAGAUCCCCGAGACAGCUUCUUCCGUGCUGAAAUUCCAAAACCAAAGUACACAUACUGUCAAAACACAUUGGCAAUGCGAUUGAAAGGCUACAUUGGGCGACAUCGAACCUUUGGAAGAGUUUCCAGCCUCGGACAGGCCGCCAGGAGGCACCCGGGGCACCGGCAACCACCACUUAUCGUCGCGGCGGCGCUGCCCUUCAGGCGCCACGAUACCUUGAUCUACGUACCAGAAUUCUGAAUCGCAUGUUGUCGAGUUUCCUGAGAGCUGGAAGAUUGAUAACAAGAUCUGAUCUUGGCCUGCAAGUCAUGACCUGAUCGAAGAAAAAACAAAACUACUGCAAUCAUCAUCCACAGAUGAAGAAGAACUUGCGAAAUGUUCUAGAAGGUGGAUCGGAAAUUACAUCGAUUCUUUUGCCGUCGGAUAAUGUCUGCAAAGAAGGUUUGAAUUCAACAAUAUGGUCGCAAACUGAAAGCAGCCAGUUCAUUUCCCUUCUCCACAUCGAUUUCUUUGGCAGUGGCAAUGGCUCCAGCCUCCAUAGCUGCCCGAACACAGUGGCUGCGUAUUUUGAAUUCAUGUCAAUUAUUCACACCAGAUCGAUUUGAGGUAAGAAACAUAUAUUAAUGUGUUCUCUGUUUACCACAGAGAUUGGUGAUGGCGUUGGAGAUGGUGAGAGCUGGACAAACUCCUUUCCCACUUCCAGACAUGUCUUCUCCAAGCAGCAGCUUUGCAAAUCUCUCCUUCAUCAUUUCCAUCUCUGUGACUGCUGUGAAUUGGAUUUCACUUCAUUUUUUAUAGAAUUGGAUGCCAUGGCGAUGGGCCAACCGAAGCCGGAAGCACCAUCGGAGGUGGAUCUGCUGUCAGAACUCGUGCUGGACUCAGUUGACUCUGACGACUCUCCAUCUUCUUUCUUCUUACUCCCCAUUUUCAACCAUGGAAAGAAUUAGGGCUAAAGAUGAGAUCUUUUUUUGCAGGUCCAAGAAUGGAGAUUUUGAAGGGAUUGUCUGUUCUAAUGGUGAUUUGACACACACACAGAUACACUCACAGUGUUUGCUGAUGAUGUUGUUGUUCUUUGUCAGUGACGAGCACGGAUGCAGGGAGGAAGAAGAAGAUUUUGAUUUUUCAAAGGGCCGUGGGGGGGACGAUGAUUGCAGGAGCAGAAUCACAUUCACAUAUCCCGCUUGCGAAAUUACGCUUCUGCCCCCAUCCAGGUUUGAACCAUUUUUUUUGUUUUUUUUGGCUCUGUGUGCAAUCAAGGUCUUUAAUUUAACUACGUACAGCGUGGCCAUGAUUGUGUUUGUUUUUUGUUUUUGUGCUAUUUGAAAUAUUUAAAAAAUAAUAGUAAUUAAAAAUUGACAUAAUAUUUUUUUAUUUGUUACGAUUUAUGGAAUAAAUUCUAUUUUUAUUAAAACACAAUUAGGGUACUAUAUU